UAUGCCAACUCAUCACGAGUAUCCAACCCCUCAAUCAGGUAUGACUCAGUGGGGCAGCCUCCUUGAAGAGUUAUGUUGUAGCAAUAUCAUGCUAGAUCUUGGUCUCCACGGACUUCUCCAACUUCAUUAGUUGUCCGAAACUUCAUCCUCAGGUGGUAUGUUGAUACGAUAGCUCGGAACGCAUUUAGACCUGAUCGAUCGAGA
This 204-nucleotide long non-coding RNA is filed under the name Elaeis guineensis (African oil palm). Its description in RNAcentral is "long non-coding RNA (EGUI_LNC008546)". The record is from RNAcentral. Lineage: Eukaryota; Viridiplantae; Streptophyta; Magnoliopsida; Arecales; Arecaceae.